CCUACGUGUGGCAGCAGUGGGGAAUAUUGGACAAUGGGCGAAAGCCUGAUCCAGCCAUGCCGCGUGUGUGAAGAAGGCCUUCGGGUUGUAAAGCACUUUCAGUGGGGAAGAAAGCCUUGGGGCUAAUACCCUCGAGGAAGGACAUCACCCACAGAAGAAGCACCGGCUAACUCCGUGCCAGCAGCCCGGUAAUACGGAGGGUGCGAGCGUUAAUCGGAAUUACUGGGCGUAAAGCGCGCGUAGGCGGUCUGAUAAGCCGGUUGUGAAAGCCCCGGGCUCAACCUGGGAACGGCAUCCGGAACUGUCAGGCUAGAGUGCAGGAGAGGAAGGUAGAAUUCCCGGUGUAGCGGUGAAAUGCGUAGAGAUCGGGAGGAAUACCAGUGGCGAAGGCGGCCUUCUGGACUGACACUGACGCUGAGGUGCGAAAGCGUGGGUAGCAAACAGGAUUAGAUACCCCAGUAGUC
This 464-nucleotide ribosomal RNA is filed under the name Vreelandella stevensii. RNAcentral's name for it is "partial 16S ribosomal RNA". It matches the Rfam family "Bacterial small subunit ribosomal RNA", at positions 338 to 795 of the family's 1533-position model. Lineage: Bacteria; Pseudomonadati; Pseudomonadota; Gammaproteobacteria; Oceanospirillales; Halomonadaceae. The record is from RNAcentral.